GAUGAAGAACUUAGCGAAAUGCGAUAAGUAAUGUGAAUUGCAGAAUUCAGUGAAUCAUCGAAUCUUUGAACGCACAUUGCGCCCGCCAGUAUUCUGGCGGGCAUGCCUGUCCGAGCGUCAUUUCAACCCUCGAACCCCUCCGGGGGGUCGGCGUUGGGGAUCGGCACUUACCUGCCGGCCCCGAAAUACAGUGGCGGUCUCGCCGCAGCCUCUCCUGCGCAGUAGUUUGCACACUCGCACCGGGAGCGCGGCGCGUCCACGGCCGUAAAACAACCCAAACUUCUGAAAUGUUGACCUCGGAUCAGGUAGGAAUACCCGCUGAACUUAAGCAUAUCAAUAAGCGGAGGA
This 348-nucleotide unclassified non-coding RNA is filed under the name soil metagenome. RNAcentral's name for it is "partial contains 5.8S ribosomal RNA, internal transcribed spacer 2, and large subunit ribosomal RNA". The stretch from base 1 to 120 matches the Rfam family "5.8S ribosomal RNA", at positions 35 to 154 of the family's 154-position model. The record is from RNAcentral.